This is a long non-coding RNA of Nematostella vectensis (starlet sea anemone), 398 nucleotides long. RefSeq lists it as uncharacterized. The transcript has 2 exons. The record is from RefSeq and is a predicted model, not a curated record. NCBI's taxonomy places the organism in Eukaryota, Metazoa, Cnidaria, Anthozoa, Actiniaria, Edwardsiidae.
UACUUUGCUAGGAUGAUAAAAUGGCACGUGACAGAGGCUGUUUAAAUUGACACGAAAAUAAAGUGUUAUAAGGUAAACGAUUCAGCUAGAGUGAGCAUAUCUAGCUGUACCGACCUUUGAUGUACAGCAUUGUAACAACAACAACGAAUAAGAGAACAGAUUCGAUUAUUGAGCUCAGUAGCCGUUGACGAAGUUGUAAAAACAAUGCAACGGGAGGAACAUUCAAUCAAACUUAGCGCACAGCACAGGCUUCCCACCUGCGUUAGUGAAGAAUUAUAAUAAUAAUAAUAAUAAUAAUGCUCGUUUAUUUCAACCGUUUGCAGUUCUUUUACAACUGAAUUACCGGUAGGGUCAGCUAACUACAAAAUACAUUACACCAUACAUAAUUCAUAAUAACA